AGAGUUUGAUCCUGGCUCAGGACGAACGCUGGCGGCGUGGAUUAGGCAUGCAAGUCGAACGGUAGUAUCCUUUCGGGGAUAUGAGAGUGGCGAACGGGUGAGUAACACGUAGGUAAUCUACCCUCAAAUCGGGGACAACCCAGGGAAACUUGGGCUAAUACCGGAUGAGUGCAGCACCUUGAUUUUCCGGUGGGCGGUGAAUGGUUAAAUCUAUUUACCGGACAUUGGGAAAUGAAGGUGCUGUAUAAAAGAUGGCGUAAGCUGUCGUUUGAGGAUGAGCCUGCGCUCUAUUAGUUAGUUGGUGGGGUAAUGGCCUACCAAGGCGAUGAUAGAUAGGCGGCCUUAACGGGUGGCCGCCCACACUGGGAUUGAGAUACGGCCCAGACUCCUACGGGAGGCAGCAGUCGAGAAUAGUCUACAAUGGACGAAAGUCUGAUAGUGCGACGCCGCGUGAACGAAGAAUCCCUUCGGGGUGUAAAGUUCUUUUAUAUGUGAGCAAUGCUUUUUAUGUGAAUAGCAUGAGAAGAGAGAUAUUAGCAUAUGAAUAAGCAACGGCUAACUCCGUGCCAGCAGCCGCGGUAACACGGGGGUUGCAAGCGUUGUCCGGAAUUACUAGGCGUAAAGGGCAGGUAGGCGGAUCCAUAAGUUUGAUGUUAAAGGCAGCGGCUCACCCGCUGUAGGGCAUUAGAUACUGUGGAUCUGGAAUACGGUUGGGGAAGACAGAAUUCCUGGUGUAGCGGUGGAAUGCGCAGAGAUCAGGAGGAAUA
RNAcentral lists this ribosomal RNA (767 nucleotides) under uncultured bacterium. Its description in RNAcentral is "bacterial SSU rRNA". It matches the Rfam family "Bacterial small subunit ribosomal RNA", at positions 8 to 708 of the family's 1533-position model. The record is from RNAcentral.